Molecule: ribosomal RNA, 432 nt
Filed under: uncultured bacterium
Lineage: Bacteria
Description: bacterial SSU rRNA
Rfam family: Bacterial small subunit ribosomal RNA
Source: RNAcentral
GAACGCGAAGAACCUUACCCGGGCUUGAACUAAGAGUGACAGAUUUAGAGAUAGAUUUUUCUUCGGACACUCUUGGAGGUGCUGCAUGGUUGUCGUCAGCUCGUGCCGUGAGGUGUCGGCUUAAGUGCCAUAACGAGCGCAACCCUUUUCCUUGGUUGCCAUCAGGUAAUGCUGGGCACUCCAGGGAUACUGCCAUCGUAAGAUGUGAGGAAGGUGGGGAUGACGUCAAAUCAGCACGGCCCUUACGUCCGGGGCUACACACGUGUUACAAUGGGGGGUACAGAAGGUCGCUACCUGGUGACAGGAUGCUAAUCUCCAAAACCUCUCUCAGUUCGGAUUGGAGUCUGCAACCCGACUCCAUGAAGCUGGAUUCGCUAGUAAUCGCGCAUCAGCCAUGGCGCGGUGAAUACGUUCCCGGGUCUUGUACACACC